Long non-coding RNA from Gambusia affinis (western mosquitofish), 642 nucleotides. RefSeq lists it as uncharacterized. NCBI's taxonomy places the organism in Eukaryota, Metazoa, Chordata, Actinopteri, Cyprinodontiformes, Poeciliidae. The transcript has 5 exons. The record is from RefSeq and is a predicted model, not a curated record.
UUGGCAGUAUUACAUUUAGCGGAAGUACAUCCAACUUCUCCGUUUGUCAAACGUUACAUUUGCUGAGUUUAAAGUAAUUUUAAUCGUCUGACUGACAUCAGAAACAAGAAAACCGUCUGCUACUUCUGGACUCCGUUUCCCAGAACCACCUGGGACCAGGCUAAAGGUGACAGGAAAAUUUCUAACACUUGGCAGCGGCGUCGGUCAGAGUGGUUCUUGGUGCAGCGCCCCCACAGGCGAGGAGGGGAACAGGUUGCUCAAAGGGUUUGGCUUGUUGGACAUGCUGCAUCGUGAAAGGGAACCGCAGCAGCUGAAAAUUUUUUGAAAGCACGACCAAUUAUUCUGCCUCCUCUGCCUCAUGAAGAGAUGCUGCCUGCGCGCUCUCUGAGUGAAUCUGCAGCUCUGGAUGUUUCUGCAGCUCUGGAAGGAGCUGCUCACUUCUGACCGGAGAAAAGAAAGAACAUUUCUUCUGCUACAGACGGACAAACAGCUGGAGGAAGAACUGCUGUGCACUGAAAAAAGAAAACGGUUGAUCCAACUUUAAAAACUUCAGCUAAUAUGUUGCAAGAAGUCAAAUUAAGUUUAUUGAACAAAAGUAACGUAAUUUGAUGACAUGAAACAAAUAAACAAUUUAAAAAGGUU